CUACAGUCAUAUCGCCCUGAAUAUGCCCAAUCUCCUUGAUCUUGGCAGCUACGCAGGGUCAGGCCUGGUUAGUCCUUGGAAGGGGUGAAAUAAGAUUUCUCAUGGACACAGAGUUGCCAGAUACAGCAAAGA
This is a ribosomal RNA of Bison bison bison, 132 nucleotides long. The record is from Ensembl. Lineage: Eukaryota; Metazoa; Chordata; Mammalia; Artiodactyla; Bovidae.